UUCGGAGGUACUCGAGUGGCGAACGGGUGAGUAACACGUGGGUGAUCUGCCCUGCACUCUGGGAUAAGCCUGGGAAACUGGGUCUAAUACCGGAUAGGACCAUGCUUUAGUGUGUGUGGUGGAAAGUUUUUCGGUGUAGGAUGAGCCCGCGGCCUAUCAGCUUGUUGGUGGGGUAAUGGCCUACCAAGGCGACGAUGGGUAGCCGGCCUGAGAGGGUGAACGGCCACAUUGGAACUGAGAAACGGUCCAA
This 250-nucleotide ribosomal RNA is filed under the name uncultured Actinomycetales bacterium. RNAcentral describes it as "partial 16S ribosomal RNA". It matches the Rfam family "Bacterial small subunit ribosomal RNA", at positions 79 to 334 of the family's 1533-position model. Lineage: Bacteria; Bacillati; Actinomycetota; Actinomycetes; Actinomycetales. The record is from RNAcentral.